This 517-nucleotide ribosomal RNA is filed under the name uncultured Glomus. RNAcentral's name for it is "SSU rRNA". It matches the Rfam family "Eukaryotic small subunit ribosomal RNA", at positions 569 to 1087 of the family's 1831-position model. Lineage: Eukaryota; Fungi; Glomeromycota; Glomeromycetes; Glomerales; Glomeraceae. The record is from RNAcentral.
AGCAGCCGCGGUAAUUCCAGCUCCAAUAGCGUAUAUUAAAGUUGUUGCAGUUAAAAAGCUCGUAGUUGAAUUUCGGGAUCAAUAUGUUGGUCGUGCCUUGGUACGUACUGGCAUUAUCGAUUCCUACCUUCUGAAGAACCUCGAUGUCAUUAAUUUGGUGUCUUGGGGAAUCAGGACUGUUACUUUGAAAAAAUUAGAGUGUUUAAAGCAGGCUCGCGCUUGAAUACAUUAGCAUGGAAUAAUGAAAUAGGACGUUUGAUUACUAUUUUGUUGGUUUCUAGGAUCGACGUAAUGAUUAAUAGGGAUAGUUGGGGGCAUUAGUAUUCAAUUGUCAGAGGUGAAAUUCUUGGAUUUAUUGAAGACUAACUACUGCGAAAGCAUUUGCCAAGGAUGGUUUCAUUAAUCAAGACGAAAGUUAGGGGAUCGAAGACGAUCAGAUACCGUCGUAGUCUUAACCAUAAACUAUGCCGACUAGGGAUCGGAUGAUGUUAAUUUUUAAUGUACUCAUUCGGCGUAC